This 253-nucleotide ribosomal RNA is filed under the name uncultured bacterium. Its description in RNAcentral is "partial 16S ribosomal RNA". It matches the Rfam family "Bacterial small subunit ribosomal RNA", at positions 524 to 776 of the family's 1533-position model. The record is from RNAcentral.
UACGUAGGGUGCGAGCGUUGUCCGGAAUUAUUGGGCGUAAAGGGCUCGUAGGCGGUUUGUCGCGUCGGGAGUGAAAUCCACUGGCUUAACUGGUGGCUUGCUUUCGAUACGGGCAGACUGGAGGUAUGCAGGGGAGAACGGAAUUCCUGGUGUAGCGGUGAAAUGCGCAGAUAUCAGGAGGAACACCAAUGGCGAAGGCAGAUCUCUGGGCCGUAACUGACGCUGAGGAGCGAAAGCAUGGGGAGCGAACAGG